CAGUCGCCGCGGUAAUACGAGGGGGGCAAGCGUUGUUCGGAAUUAUUGGGCGUAAAGGGCGCGUAGGCGGUUUGACAAGUCUGAUGUGAAAUCUCUGGGCUCAACCCAGAGUCUGCAUCGGAAACUGUCGAGCUUGAGUAUGGGAGAGGUGAGUGGAAUUUCCGGUGUAGCGGUGAAAUGCGUAGAUAUCGGAAGGAACACCUGUGGCGAAAGCGGCUCACUGGACCAUUACUGACGCUGAGGCGCGAAAGCUAGGGGAGCAAACAGGAUUAGAUACCCGCGUAGUCCCUGUCUCUUAUAC
This 301-nucleotide ribosomal RNA is filed under the name uncultured bacterium. Its description in RNAcentral is "partial 16S ribosomal RNA". It matches the Rfam family "Bacterial small subunit ribosomal RNA", at positions 509 to 807 of the family's 1533-position model. The record is from RNAcentral.